UACGUAGGGGGCGAGCGUUGUCCGGAUUUAUUGGGCGUAAAGAGCGUGUAGGCGGCCAGAUAGGUCAGCUGUGAAAACUCGAGGCUCAACCUCGAGACGUCGGUUGAAACCGUAAGGCUAGAGUCCGGAAGAGGAGAGUGGAAUUCCCGGUGUAGCGGUGAAAUGCGCAGAUAUCGGGAAGAACACCCGUGGCGAAGGCGGCUCUCUGGGACGGUACUGACGCUGAGACGCGAAAGCGUGGGGAGCGAACAGG
RNAcentral lists this ribosomal RNA (253 nucleotides) under uncultured bacterium. Its description in RNAcentral is "partial 16S ribosomal RNA". It matches the Rfam family "Bacterial small subunit ribosomal RNA", at positions 524 to 776 of the family's 1533-position model. The record is from RNAcentral.